This 246-nucleotide ribosomal RNA is filed under the name uncultured bacterium. Its description in RNAcentral is "partial small subunit ribosomal RNA". It matches the Rfam family "Bacterial small subunit ribosomal RNA", at positions 26 to 285 of the family's 1533-position model. The record is from RNAcentral.
AGAAUCAACGCUGGCGGCGUGCCUAACACAUGCAAGUCGAACGAGAAAGUGGAGCAAUCCAUGAGUAAAGUGGCGCACGGGUGAGUAACACGUGACUAACCUACCCUUGAGUGGGGGAUAACCUAGAGAAAUCUUAGCUAAUACCGCAUAAUACCCACGGGUCAAAGCAGCAAUGCGCUUGGAGAGGAGUUCGCGGCCGAUUAGUUAGUUGGCGGGGUAAUGGCCCACCGAAGACGAUGAUCGGUA